Enterobacter sp. 638 is the source of this 161-nucleotide small RNA. It matches the Rfam family "Enterobacterial sRNA STnc430". The record is from Rfam. NCBI's taxonomy places the organism in Bacteria, Pseudomonadati, Pseudomonadota, Gammaproteobacteria, Enterobacterales, Enterobacteriaceae.
AACAACGUUCACACUCCGUAUUUUCCUAAAAAAACCCGCAGUAAUUAACGGGGAAAUCAGGCUUUUCGGAUUAAACUCAUAAUAGAAAUUUGCGUCAGGUAACGGACAACCGGAAUUAUCCGAUAAAAAAUGCCAGCAUUUCGCCGGCAUGUAUUACGGAA